GAGGAUAUAGCUCAGUGCUAGAGUGCAUGCUUAGUAUGCACCAGGUCCUGGGUUCAAUCCCCGGUACUUCU
Molecule: transfer RNA, 71 nt
Filed under: Camelus bactrianus (Bactrian camel)
Lineage: Eukaryota; Metazoa; Chordata; Mammalia; Artiodactyla; Camelidae
Also listed under: 1 other name
Rfam family: tRNA
About the family: Transfer RNA (tRNA) molecules are approximately 80 nucleotides in length. Their secondary structure includes four short double-helical elements and three loops (D, anti-codon, and T loops).
Source: Rfam by way of RNAcentral